AUCCAGGAUAUUUUAAAAAAAAUAAAAUUAAAAACUAAAGAAGCAGAGUCAGCUUGCUCCCCACUGAACCCCAAGGCUGGGGAAUGUUACUGCUUUAGGAUGCAACACAGUCCCACAGCAUUCCCACAGUGCAGCCCUGGCCCAGCCCUGCAGGAGAUGGGACCUGCACCUCUCCCACUGCUUACACUGAGGUGUCCAUCACCAGCAGGAGAUGGAGGCAGCUCCAGGACCCAAUCCUGCACCACACACUUCUGCUUCAGGCUCCUGAGGUGCAGGUAGGAAUAAAACUGCUUUUUUUCCCCCAGAAAAGGCUCCUUCCUCCCCUCAGAUGGCAUGGUCUGUUUGGCACCCCCACAUCCCCUCCCAGCCAGGACCAGGCUGGCUCCUGGAAGGGGCAGAGACCAGAACAGCCAAAGCCAGGCAGGCUGGGCAUCUGGAGAGAGAGGGGCAGGGUGUUCUCAUAGAGCCCCACAUGGAAAAGCUCCCCUAUCCCUGUCCCCACACCAUUUUCAAUGCAGAAGCUGCAGACACACGCAGCUGCAUCCCAAACCCCUCCAUGUAAUUACAGAUCCUCGGUUUCUUCUGGGCUUCCACUUAUUUAAUCGUCCUUUCUCAUCUGCCUCUAAUACCCUGAGCUCUGUCAGAGGGCAGAAACACAGCCUUUACAUCCAGAAGGACAAGAGUUCCCUGCAACAGCUGCUAUAUUUAACAGAAAAAAUACACUGGGUUGCCAUGGCAACCCUGGCUUCUAAAAAUAGACCUGCCAUAUCCAGCACAGCCGAGAGCACAGGCAGUGCUGACGGAAGCUGCUUUCCCCGAGUGCUGGGGAAUGGAAGUAAACUUUUAUUCCUCGCUGGAAUCGUCACGGAGCAAACUCUGAAAAAAAAAACCACAACCCAAAAAUCACACGAGCCUUUGCUAAUUAAAGCCUUGUUGGAAGGAUCCCCACUUCCCUUGGCUCAGGGACUGAUCCCUGAACUGCAGCUCCUGGCAUCAAAAGGGUGCUUUGGAAACGGGGGGCAGGGCUGGAGCCAGCUGGGUGAAGAUGGAGGGAUGGUGCUGGAUGUGGUUGGUUUUCCUGCUGGCACUGACACAGUGAGGCUCACAGUGCCCAAGUGCCCACGGCUCUGGCAGCAGGGUCACCCCAGCCAGCAGAGCUGCCGGGGUAAGACUGGCUUUGGGCACCCUCAGGGGGCACCCAGCCUUGCCUGGAGUGCUUCAAAUGACCUGCAGAGAGCUGUGAUGGGGGAUGCACAGCUUUCCAAAUGGCCUUUUCACCCCGUUCCACCAACAAAACCAGUCCUCUGGGCAUUGAAUCAGGAGCGUCCUCCUUCCCCACUGGAACACAGACCCUGUCACCAAAACACACCCCGAGCUCCCUACAGCAAGAGCAGCUGAGCAUCCCCCAAAAUCUGACUAGCAAGGCUGAGUAGUCACAGCCUGCCUGGGAACAGCAGUUGCUUCCCAUUGCACUCCAAGCCUCCAGCCAUCUCCCUAAUUCUCCUUGGCAUUUCUCGCCGAGUGGAGGGCAUGCUCCUGACAGACCGCAGCCCCCCGGCGCUGCUGACCAGCCCCGAUCCCGGCUGGGAGGGUGGCAGUG
This 1600-nucleotide long non-coding RNA is filed under the name Serinus canaria (Common canary). Its description in RNAcentral is "lncRNA (ENSSCAG00000009373.1)". The record is from RNAcentral. Lineage: Eukaryota; Metazoa; Chordata; Aves; Passeriformes; Fringillidae.